GAUGAACGCUAGCGGCAGGCCUAAUACAUGCAAGUCGAACGAUAUUUUCCAGCUUGCUGGGAGAGUAAGUGGCGCACGGGUGCGUAACGCGUAUGCAACCUACCUUUAUCAGGGGGAUAGCCCGGAGAAAUCCGGAUUAAUACCGCAUAAAAUCACAGAACGGCAUUGUUCAAUGAUCAAACAUUUAUGGGAUAAAGAUGGCAUGCGUGUCAUUAGCUAGUUGGCGGGGUAACGGCCCACCAAGGCGACGAUGACUAGGGGAUCUGAGAGGAUGGCCCCCCACACUGGUACUGAGAAACGGACCAGACUCCUACGGGAGGCAGCAGUAAGGAAUAUUGGUCAAUGGAGGCAACUCUGAACCAGCCAUGCCGCGUGCAGGAAGACUGCCCUAUGGGUUGUAAACUGCUUUUAUCCGGGAAUAAACCUCCGAUCGUGAUCGGAGCUGAAUGUACCGGAAGAAUAAGGAUCGGCUAACUCCGUGCCAGCCGCCGCCGUAA
RNAcentral lists this ribosomal RNA (497 nucleotides) under uncultured bacterium. RNAcentral describes it as "partial 16S ribosomal RNA". It matches the Rfam family "Bacterial small subunit ribosomal RNA", at positions 28 to 523 of the family's 1533-position model. The record is from RNAcentral.